UAGCAAUACGAUGGAAAGUCUAGUGGCGAACGGGUGCUUAACACGUGGGCAACCUGCCAGGAAGUGGGGGAUAGCUCGCCGAAAGGCGAAUUAAUACCGCAUGUGAUUAGAGAGGACAUCCUUUCGAAAUUAAAGUCGGGGCAACCUGACGCUUCUUGUGGGGCCCGCGGCCUAUCAGCUAGUUGGUGAGGUAACGGCUCACCAAGGCGUUGACGGGUAGCUGGUCUGAGAGGACGACCAGCCACACUGGGACUGAGACACGGCCCAGACACCUACGGGUGGCAGCAGUCGAGAAUUUUUGACAAUGGGGGAAACCCUGAUCGAGCGACGCCGCGUGGAGGAUGAAGGUCUUCGGAUUGUAAACUCCUGUCAUUGGGGAACAAUGCGUGAUGGUUAACUGCCGUUGCGUUGAUAGUACCCGAAGAGGAAGAGACGGCUAACUCUGUGCCAGCAGCCGCGGUAAUACAGAGGUCUCAAGCGUUGUUCGGAUUCAUUGGGCGUAAAGGGUGCGUAGGCGGCGCGGUAAGUCGGGUGUGAAAUCUCGGAGCUCAACUCCUAAACUGCACUGGAUACUGCUCUGCUAGAGGACCGGAGAGGAGACUGGAAUUCUCGGUGUAGCA
This 620-nucleotide ribosomal RNA is filed under the name uncultured Verrucomicrobiota bacterium. RNAcentral describes it as "bacterial SSU rRNA". It matches the Rfam family "Bacterial small subunit ribosomal RNA", at positions 77 to 680 of the family's 1533-position model. Lineage: Bacteria; Pseudomonadati; Verrucomicrobiota. The record is from RNAcentral.